This 460-nucleotide ribosomal RNA is filed under the name uncultured bacterium. Its description in RNAcentral is "partial 16S ribosomal RNA". It matches the Rfam family "Bacterial small subunit ribosomal RNA", at positions 338 to 795 of the family's 1533-position model. The record is from RNAcentral.
CCUACGGGUGGCCGCAGUGAGGAAUAUUGGUCAAUGGGCGUAAGGCUGAACCAGCCAAGUCGCGUGAAGGAAGGAGGCCCUACGGUUUGUAAACUUCUUUUAUAGGGGAAUAAAGGUAGACACGUGUGCCUGUUUGCGUGUACCCUAUGAAUAAGCAUCGGCUAACUCCGUGCCAGCAGCCGCGGUAAUACGGAGGAUGCGAGGGUUAUCCGGAUUUAUUGGGUUUAAAGGGUGCGUAGGUGGUUUGUUAAGUCAGCUGUGAAAGUUUGUGGCUCAACCAUAAAAUUGCAGUUGAAACUGGAAGACUUGAGUGUGGGUGAGGUAGGCGGAAUGCGUGGUGUAGCGGUGAAAUGCAUAGAUAUCACGAAGAACUCCGAUUGCGAAGGCAGAUUACUAAGCCAUAACUGACACUGAAGCACGAAAGCGUGGGGAUCAAACAGGAUUAGAUACCCCAGUAGUC